RNAcentral lists this ribosomal RNA (465 nucleotides) under uncultured bacterium. Its description in RNAcentral is "SSU rRNA". It matches the Rfam family "Bacterial small subunit ribosomal RNA", at positions 26 to 521 of the family's 1533-position model. The record is from RNAcentral.
AGCCUGAACGCUGUCGGUGUGAUUAAGACAUGCAAGUCGUACGGUGUAGCAAUACACAGUGGCGCACGGGUGAGUAAGGCAUCGCUAAUGUACCCCGGGGUUUUGGAUAGCCAGUCGAAAGAUUGGGUAAUACAAAACGAGACCACGAUCUGGCAUCAGAUUGUGCUCAAAGGGCAACCGCCCUGGGAUCAGGCGAUGUGGUAUCAGCUAGUUGGUGAGGUAACGGCUCACCAAGGCUUCGACGCCUAGCCGGACUGAGAGGUCGGCCGGCCACAUCGGGACUGAGACACUGCCCGGACUCCUACGGGGGGCUGCAGUAAUGAAUCUUCCGCAAUGCACGAAAGUGUGACGGAGCGACACCGAGUGAAGGAUGAAGUUCUUCGGAAUGUAAACUUCUAAAACCUGUUAGAAGUUCUGAUCGACAGGCUAUAAGUGGACGACUAACUCUGCGCCAGCAGCCGCGGU